RNAcentral lists this long non-coding RNA (299 nucleotides) under Medicago truncatula (barrel medic). RNAcentral describes it as "long non-coding RNA (MTRU_LNC000019)". The record is from RNAcentral. Lineage: Eukaryota; Viridiplantae; Streptophyta; Magnoliopsida; Fabales; Fabaceae.
GGGUGUAUCAAGUUAGAGUGCUUUUAUUAUGAGAGGUGAGAGGAGUAAAUCACAGCCCUUAGAUCAAUCAUUACUAUGAUAUUUAAUUUUUAUUAAUGUAGGUAAUCUUUCACACCUUCAUUCCCUUAUUUCUCUCACGUUCUUAUUAUUCUUGUUUUCUCAGAUUUCAUCCAUGAUGCUCCCAUUACACAUCUAUCUUUCUACUUGAAAUCGAUUGGUUUCUCUUCAUUUUCAUUUGAAUUGCUUUGUUCCCCUGUUCUAAAUCCUUAUUUAAUUUUUACAUUGUAAUUGCUUUGUUC